GACGAACGCUGGCGGCGUGCUUAACACAUGCAAGUCGAACGGAAAGGCCCUGCUUUUGUGGGGUGCUCGAGUGGCGAACGGGUGAGUAACACGUGAGUAACCUGCCCUUGACUUUGGGAUAACUUCAGGAAACUGGGGCUAAUACCGGAUAUGAGCUCCUGCUGCAUGGUGGGGGUUGGAAAGUUUCGGCGGUUGGGGAUGGACUCGCGGCUUAUCAGCUUGUUGGUGGGGUAGUGGCUUACCAAGGCUUUGACGGGUAGCCGGCCUGAGAGGGUGACCGGCCACAUUGGGACUGAGAGACGGCCCAGACUGCUAUGGGCGGCAGCAGUGGGGAAUAUUGCACAAUGGGCGGAAGCGUGAUGCAGCAACGCCGCGUGCGGGAUGACGGCUUUCGGGUUGUAAACCGCUUUCGAGUGUGACGAAGCGUGAGUGACGGUAACGGGUAAAGAAGCACCGGCUAACUACGUG
Molecule: ribosomal RNA, 468 nt
Filed under: uncultured bacterium
Lineage: Bacteria
Description: partial 16S ribosomal RNA
Rfam family: Bacterial small subunit ribosomal RNA
Source: RNAcentral